Long non-coding RNA from Triticum dicoccoides, 298 nucleotides. RefSeq lists it as uncharacterized. Lineage: Eukaryota; Viridiplantae; Streptophyta; Magnoliopsida; Poales; Poaceae. The record is from RefSeq and is a predicted model, not a curated record. The transcript is spliced from 3 exons.
UGCACCGGCUGGCACCUCUCUGGAUCGGGGCACGAGGGCUUGAAUUUACUUGGGACUACAUAUUCCAAGGACUUGAAGCAAAUGCCAAUCUUGUGAUGACCCUCUCCCUUGCUGCAUUAGGAUCCUUGAUGUGGCUGAGGAAGAACAAACCUAGGACAUUAAUUCCAAUAAUUUAUGCAUGUGCUCUACUUCUGAAAGGUACCAACAGGGUGCAUUUCGUCAGGAACUUGAUCACGGAGGUCGCUGGGUUUGCUCCGUAUGAGAAGCGUACCAACUGGGCUUGCUAUUGCUGAUCCGA